This 892-nucleotide ribosomal RNA is filed under the name Escherichia coli. Its description in RNAcentral is "partial 23S ribosomal RNA". It matches the Rfam family "Bacterial large subunit ribosomal RNA", at positions 1 to 934 of the family's 2925-position model. Lineage: Bacteria; Pseudomonadati; Pseudomonadota; Gammaproteobacteria; Enterobacterales; Enterobacteriaceae. The record is from RNAcentral.
GGUUAAGCGACUAAGCGUACACGGUGGAUGCCCUGGCAGUCAGAGGCGAUGAAGGACGUGCUAAUCUGCGAUAAGCGUCGGUAAGGUGAUAUGAACCGUUAUAACCGGCGAUUUCCGAAUGGGGAAACCCAGUGUGAUUCGUCACACUAUCAUUAACUGAAUCCAUAGGUUAAUGAGGCGAACCGGGGGAACUGAAACAUCUAAGUACCCCGAGGAAAAGAAAUCAACCGAGAUUCCCCCAGUAGCGGCGAGCGAACGGGGAGGAGCCCAGAGCCUGAAUCAGUGUGUGUGUUAGUGGAAGCGUCUGGAAAGGCGCGCGAUACAGGGUGACAGCCCCGUACACAAAAAUGCACAUGCUGUGAGCUCGAUGAGUAGGGCGGGACACGUGGUAUCCUGUCUGAAUAUGGGGGGACCAUCCUCCAAGGCUAAAUACUCCUGACUGACCGAUAGUGAACCAGUACCGUGAGGGAAAGGCGAAAAGAACCCCGGCGAGGGGAGUGAAAAAGAACCUGAAACCGUGUACGUACAAGCAGUGGGAGCACGCUUAGGCGUGUGACUGCGUACCUUUUGUAUAAUGGGUCAGCGACUUAUAUUCUGUAGCAAGGUUAACCGAAUAGGGGAGCCGAAGGGAAACCGAGUCUUAACUGGGCGUUAAGUUGCAGGGUAUAGACCCGAAACCCGGUGAUCUAGCCAUGGGCAGGUUGAAGGUUGGGUAACACUAACUGGAGGACCGAACCGACUAAUGUUGAAAAAUUAGCGGAUGACUUGUGGCUGGGGGUGAAAGGCCAAUCAAACCGGGAGAUAGCUGGUUCUCCCCGAAAGCUAUUUAGGUAGCGCCUCGUGAAUUCAUCUCCGGGGGUAGAGCACUGUUUCGGCAAGGGGGUCAUCCCGA